GAUGAACGCUGGCGGCGUGCCUAAUACAUGCAAGUCGAGCGAAAAGACGAGGAGCUUGCUCCUCUGACGUUAGCGGCGGACGGGUGAGUAACACGUGGAUAACCUACCUAUAAGACUGGGAUAACUUCGGGAAACCGGCGCUAAUACCGGAUAAUAUAUUGCACCGCAUGGUUCAAUAGUGAAAGACGGUUUUGCUGGCACUUAUAGAUGGAUCCGCGCCGCAUUAGCUAGUUGGUAAGGUAACGGCUUAUCAAGGGAACGAUGCGUAGCCGACCGGAGGGGGGGAUCGGCCACACUGGAAGGUAGACACGGUCCAGACGCCUACGGGAGGCAGCAGUAGGGAAUCGGCCGCAAUGGGCGAAAGCUUGACGGAGCAACGCCGCGUGAGUUAUGAAGGUCUUCGGAGCGGAAAACUGUGUUAUGAGGUAAGAACAAAUUUGUAAGGAACUAUGCACUUCGUGACGGUACCUAAUCAGAAAGCCACGGCUAACUACGUG
Molecule: ribosomal RNA, 497 nt
Filed under: uncultured bacterium
Lineage: Bacteria
Description: partial 16S ribosomal RNA
Rfam family: Bacterial small subunit ribosomal RNA
Source: RNAcentral